RNAcentral lists this transfer RNA (77 nucleotides) under Glutamicibacter protophormiae. RNAcentral describes it as "tRNA-Pro". It matches the Rfam family "tRNA". Rfam says of the family: Transfer RNA (tRNA) molecules are approximately 80 nucleotides in length. Their secondary structure includes four short double-helical elements and three loops (D, anti-codon, and T loops). Further hydrogen bonds mediate the characteristic L-shaped molecular structure. tRNAs have two regions of fundamental functional importance: the anti-codon, which is responsible for specific mRNA codon recognition, and the 3' end, to which the tRNAs corresponding amino acid is attached (by aminoacyl-tRNA synthetases). tRNAs cope with the degeneracy of the genetic code in two manners: having more than one tRNA (with a specific anti-codon) for a particular amino acid; and 'wobble' base-pairing, i.e. permitting non-standard base-pairing at the 3rd anti-codon position. RNAcentral also lists the same sequence under 12 other names. The record is from RNAcentral. Lineage: Bacteria; Bacillati; Actinomycetota; Actinomycetes; Micrococcales; Micrococcaceae.
CGGGAUAUGGCGCAGUUUGGUAGCGCGCGUCGUUCGGGACGACGAGGUCGCAGGUUCAAAUCCUGUUAUCCCGACCA